Molecule: ribosomal RNA, 419 nt
Filed under: uncultured bacterium
Lineage: Bacteria
Description: bacterial SSU rRNA
Rfam family: Bacterial small subunit ribosomal RNA
Source: RNAcentral
CACGGGUGAGUAACACGUAUCCAACCUGCCGCUUACUCGGGGAUAGCCUUUCGAAAGAAAGAUUAAUACCCGAUGGUAUAAAGAGUUCGCAUGUUCUCUUUAUUAAAGAAUUUCGGUAAGCGAUGGGGAUGCGUUCCAUUAGAUAGUUGGCGGGGUAACGGCCCACCAAGUCUACGAUGGAUAGGGGUUCUGAGAGGAAGGUCCCCCACAUUGGAACUGAGACACGGUCCAAACUCCUACGGGAGGCAGCAGUGAGGAAUAUUGGUCAAUGGACGCGAGUCUGAACCAGCCAAGUAGCGUGAAGGAUGACUGCCCUAUGGGUUGUAAACUUCUUUUAUAAGGGAAUAAAGUGAGGGACGUGUUCCCUUUUUGUAUGUACCUUAUGAAUAAGGAUCGGCUAACUCCGUGCCAGCCGCUGC